This 32-nucleotide non-coding RNA is filed under the name Mus musculus (house mouse). The record is from RNAcentral. Lineage: Eukaryota; Metazoa; Chordata; Mammalia; Rodentia; Muridae.
UGCCAGAUUUAAACCCACUGGGCCUUCCGCAU